Molecule: long non-coding RNA, 410 nt
Filed under: Mytilus galloprovincialis (Mediterranean mussel)
Lineage: Eukaryota; Metazoa; Mollusca; Bivalvia; Mytilida; Mytilidae
Source: RNAcentral
UGUGCUAUGUUUUUUCUAAUUAAUACCUCUUUUUUUCGUUUUUAUAAGAAUUUUUCGGUUGAUUGUUGUUUUCGUAACGUCCAGUUGAAAAUAUUUCACUCAUAUUCAGGACGAUCGUUAAUAUGAAGAGUCACCAAAUAUCAGUUUCAUCAUUCAUAUGCAACAUGAAACUUUGUAUCGAAUUCAUGCAAAUUUUGUCCUUUUUUUACUUUUUUUUAUUGACAAACUAGGUGUCAUGUUCUAGUGCAAUGUAAUUGAUCCAUCUGAACAGACGUACUGUAUAAUUAUAGCAGUCUCCACAGAAACUAAAUCGUAGAAGCUAUAUAUACAUGUAUAGAUAGUACGUUAUAUAGUACAGCAAAUUGGAAAUAGCUUGAUGCUUGAAAAAAAUUGAUAUAUUUUUAAUUUAC